Smittium simulii is the source of this 73-nucleotide non-coding RNA. NCBI's taxonomy places the organism in Eukaryota, Fungi, Kickxellomycota, Harpellomycetes, Harpellales, Legeriomycetaceae. The record is from the annotation of a GenBank genome assembly.
GGCCACGUAGCUCAGUGGAAAGAGUAUCUGUCUCCGGAGCAGAGGGUCCUGGGUUCGACCCCCAGCUUGGUCG